AUUGCUUUUGCCCAAGGACCUGGGUGCACCUGGUGGGUGAUGCAGGACAAUGGAGAGGUCUGAUGCGUACCACAGGGGGUCUUGAUUUUGAGUAAGAACAUACCGUGAAUUAUACUGUGCCUUUGUUAAUCUUUUCUUCAUUGUUAAUGCU
Athene cunicularia (burrowing owl) is the source of this 151-nucleotide long non-coding RNA. RefSeq lists it as uncharacterized. The record is from RefSeq and is a predicted model, not a curated record. The transcript has 3 exons. NCBI's taxonomy places the organism in Eukaryota, Metazoa, Chordata, Aves, Strigiformes, Strigidae.